This 253-nucleotide ribosomal RNA is filed under the name uncultured bacterium. Its description in RNAcentral is "partial 16S ribosomal RNA". It matches the Rfam family "Bacterial small subunit ribosomal RNA", at positions 524 to 776 of the family's 1533-position model. The record is from RNAcentral.
UACGUAGGGGGCAAGCGUUGUCCGGAAUUAUUGGGCGUAAAGAGCGUGUAGGCGGUCCGGUAAGUCAGCUGUGAAAGUCAAGGGCUCAACCCUUGAAAGCCGGUUGAUACUGUCGGGCUAGAGUCCGGAAGAGGCGAGUGGAAUUCCCGGUGUAGCGGUGAAAUGCGCAGAUAUCGGGAGGAACACCAAUGGCGAAGGCAGCUCUCUGGGACGGUACUGACGCUGAGACGCGAAAGCGUGGGGAGCGAACAGG